GGAAGGUACCGCUACGUGGGUGGCAGCCAGUCUUGAAAACUGGAGGGGCGGUAAAACGUUGGGGUUCGACUCCUCUACCUUCCG
Molecule: transfer RNA, 84 nt
Filed under: Planctomycetota bacterium
Lineage: Bacteria; Pseudomonadati; Planctomycetota
Description: Planctomycetes bacterium (activated sludge metagenome) tRNA-Ser
Source: RNAcentral